Molecule: ribosomal RNA, 907 nt
Filed under: Chaetopyrena penicillata
Lineage: Eukaryota; Fungi; Ascomycota; Dothideomycetes; Pleosporales; Didymellaceae
Description: LSU rRNA
Rfam family: Eukaryotic large subunit ribosomal RNA
Source: RNAcentral
GCAUAUCAAUAAGCGGAGGAAAAGAAACCAACAGGGAUUGCCUUAGUAACGGCGAGUGAAGCGGCAACAGCUCAAAUUUGAAAUCUGGCGUCUUUGGCGUCCGAGUUGUAAUUUGCAGAGGGCGCUUUGGCAUUGGCAGCGGUCCAAGUUCCUUGGAACAGGACGUCACAGAGGGUGAGAAUCCCGUACGUGGUCGCUAGCCUUUACCGUGUAAAGCCCCUUCGACGAGUCGAGUUGUUUGGGAAUGCAGCUCUAAAUGGGAGGUAAAUUUCUUCUAAAGCUAAAUACUGGCCAGAGACCGAUAGCGCACAAGUAGAGUGAUCGAAAGAUGAAAAGCACUUUGGAAAGAGAGUUAAAAAGCACGUGAAAUUGUUGAAAGGGAAGCGCUUGCAGCCAGACUUGCUUGUAGUUGCUCAUCCGGGUUUUUACCCGGUGCACUCUUCUAUAAGCAGGCCAGCAUCAGUUUGGGCGGUUGGAUAAAGGUCUCUGUCAUGUACCUCUCUUCGGGGAGAACUUAUAGGGGAGACGACAUGCAACCAGCCUGGACUGAGGUCCGCGCAUCUGCUAGGAUGCUGGCGUAAUGGCUGUAAGCGGCCCGUCUUGAAACACGGACCAAGGAGUCUAACAUCUAUGCGAGUGUUUGGGUGUCAAGCCCGAGCGCGUAAUGAAAGUGAACGGAGGUGGGAACCCCUCGGGGUGCACCAUCGACCGAUCCUGAUGUCUUCGGAUGGAUUUGAGUAAGAGCAUAGCUGUUGGGACCCGAAAGAUGGUGAACUAUGCUUGAAUAGGGUGAAGCCAGAGGAAACUCUGGUGGAGGCUCGCAGCGGUUCUGACGUGCAAAUCGAUCGUCAAAUUUGGGCAUAGGGGGCGAAAGACUAAUCGAACUAUCUAGUAGCUGGUUCUGCGA